This is a small nucleolar RNA of Rhincodon typus (whale shark), 132 nucleotides long. RefSeq annotates it as small nucleolar RNA SNORA15. NCBI's taxonomy places the organism in Eukaryota, Metazoa, Chordata, Chondrichthyes, Orectolobiformes, Rhincodontidae. The transcript has a single exon. The record is from RefSeq and is a predicted model, not a curated record.
GCAUGACUAAAUUCUGCAUUAGCUCUUCUGUAGUUAAAGCAGCCAGACAUCAUGCUAGAGUAUCUUCACUUACUUGAUUGAAGUUGGUACUCUGUCCUGUCAUGGCAACAUUCAAAAGUGGUGAACACAAGU